AUAGCGCGACGGUAGAGCGUCUGACUCCAGAUCAGAAGGCUGCGGGUUCAAAUCACGCU
RNAcentral lists this transfer RNA (59 nucleotides) under Gasterosteus aculeatus (three-spined stickleback). It matches the Rfam family "tRNA", at positions 7 to 64 of the family's 71-position model. From Rfam's summary of the family: Transfer RNA (tRNA) molecules are approximately 80 nucleotides in length. Their secondary structure includes four short double-helical elements and three loops (D, anti-codon, and T loops). Lineage: Eukaryota; Metazoa; Chordata; Actinopteri; Perciformes; Gasterosteidae. The record is from Rfam by way of RNAcentral.